UAUGGGGUUUGAGCUAACCAGAAUUUUUCUUGUUGCUAUUUUAAAAGUGUUCAGUGUGAGGUGGAGCUGAUAGAGUCCAUAGAGGGCCUGAGACAACUUGGGAAGUUCCUGAGACUCUCCUGUGUAGCCUCUGGAUUCACCUUCAGUAGCUACUGAAUGAGCUGGGUCAAUGAGACUCUAGGGAAGGGGCUGGAGGGAGUAAUAGAUGUAAAAUAUGAUGGAAGUCAGAUAUACCAUGCAGACUCUGUGAAGGGCAGAUUCACCAUCUCCAAAGACAAUGCUAAGAACUCACCGUAUCUGCAAACGAACAGUCUGAGAGCUGAGGACAUGACCAUGCAUGG
Molecule: long non-coding RNA, 341 nt
Filed under: Homo sapiens (human)
Lineage: Eukaryota; Metazoa; Chordata; Mammalia; Primates; Hominidae
Description: non-protein coding lnc-BRF1-61:1
Source: RNAcentral